UGCUACAUUCCCACAUCUUGCUAUUCAUUCAUCUGAGAAGGUAAGGAAGGCAGUGGUUAGUGGUGUAAAAGGGCUUUUGUCUAGUUGCAGUUCUACAUUAAAAAGAACCAAGAUGCUACUUUUGGAAUGUUUAUGUGUUCUGGCAUGUGAUGAUGCUGCAGCUGUGUCUGAGGCUACACAAGAUGCUCUUGAUCAUCUUUUCAACCAAGGCCACAAUCUCGUAACAGAAAAUGAGAUUUCUGAUACCUUUACUAGGCUGGUUGAAAGGCUACCACAAGUGGUACUUGGAAGCGAGGAGACAACCACACUUUCACAUGCUAGGAUGUUGUUGGCUUUGACCUUUUAUGUUGGUCCCUAGUUUCUGAUAAAUCAUCUUCACCGUUCUCCUGUCAUUGCUGCUCGUUUCUUUGAUUGUUUGGGUUUAUGCAUAGGUCAUAGCUCACAGUUUUCUGGUUCCAUGGACAAGCUAAUUGUAUCAAAGCCACUAUCUAUUGGGUAUCUUUAUUCAGUUGCUGAGUUGAACAGUGGCGCCUAUUCUAAAGAUACAACUAACAUAUCUCUGCAUGCCACGUCAACAUCUGCAGCCUCCAAAAUAUCUGUUAUC
This is a long non-coding RNA of Zea mays, 604 nucleotides long. RefSeq lists it as uncharacterized. Lineage: Eukaryota; Viridiplantae; Streptophyta; Magnoliopsida; Poales; Poaceae. The transcript has 5 exons. The record is from RefSeq and is a predicted model, not a curated record.